UUAGAUUAAAAAAUAUUUUAAUCUUCUAUUCUACUAUGUUAUUUAAAAAGAAAAUAAAAUAUACAUACAUAUCUCGACAUAAAAUUCUAACACUGACCAAGCUGUUAAGCCAAUAAAAGACUGAAGCUCACCUGAGAAGAUGGAGUUUAAGUUUAUGGCCAAUUGACUUUAGGUCAAGUGAGAGUUUGUUAGAUAUAUAUUCUAGAAGCC
This 210-nucleotide long non-coding RNA is filed under the name Elaeis guineensis (African oil palm). RNAcentral describes it as "long non-coding RNA (EGUI_LNC061965)". The record is from RNAcentral. Lineage: Eukaryota; Viridiplantae; Streptophyta; Magnoliopsida; Arecales; Arecaceae.